AACGAACGCUGGCGGCAUGCCUAACACAUGCAAGUCGAACGAAGUCUUCGGACUUAGUGGCGCACGGGUGCGUAACGCGUGGGAAUCUGUCUUUGGGUUCGGAAUAACAGUGAGAAAUUACUGCUAAUACCGGAUGAUGUCUUCGGACCAAAGAUUUAUCGCCCAAAGGUGAGCCCGCGUAAGAUUAGCUAGUUGGUGAGGUAAAGGCUCACCAAGGCGACGAUCUUUAGCUGGUCUGAGAGGAUGAUCAGCCACACUGGGACUGAGACACGGCCCAGACUCCUACGGGAGGCAGCAGUGGGGAAUAUUGGACAAUGGGCGAAAGCCUGAUCCAGCAAUGCCGCGUGAGUGAUGAAGGCCUUAGGGUGUAAAGCUCUUUACCAGGGAUGAUAAUGACAGUACCUGGAGAAUAAGCUCCGGCUAACUCCGUGCCAGCAGCCGCGGUAAAGUGACUACUG
This 458-nucleotide ribosomal RNA is filed under the name uncultured bacterium. Its description in RNAcentral is "bacterial SSU rRNA". It matches the Rfam family "Bacterial small subunit ribosomal RNA", at positions 29 to 534 of the family's 1533-position model. The record is from RNAcentral.